Molecule: long non-coding RNA, 1655 nt
Organism: Oryzias melastigma (Indian medaka)
Lineage: Eukaryota; Metazoa; Chordata; Actinopteri; Beloniformes; Adrianichthyidae
Exons: 3
Source: RefSeq, a predicted model, not a curated record
CAUCUGGCCGUGGAACACCCGCUGCAGGCCUGGAGGAACACAAGAAGACUCUCGUGAACUUUGGAUUCAAGAAACUGAAUCCUAACAAUCACCACCUCCAGCUGCCAGCAGAGGGCGCAGCUGCAUCACUUUUUACAGUGUUCUCUCCCCCUAAAUCCCAUCACAGUGAAUGCCAGAUGGGCACGAAGCGCACGCAUGCCAGGCAGCCAGGUGGUGAGAGAGACAGACGGGCGUGCACGCCGGGCGAGCGUGCACAGGUGAGUGUCUGCACAGCCGCUGUCGGCCCGUUUGGUGCUGAUGGUCUCAGAGGACGGAGUUAAAAUGACAUGAAGUGCCAGAGAGAAGAAGAGGACAGACUUGUGAAAGAAAGGUUUCAUCUUUGUGAAGGACGGAUGUGAGGUUUAGAAGAGUCACAGAAAGCUUGAAUCCACACAUGAACACACUGACAGAAGCCUGAAGAUGAACUGAAACAUGCAGACCAGUUCUUGGACUAUCACAUUUCUUUUCAAGAACCACAUAUAUUUUAUUUUUAAUUUAUUAUUUUUUUUUAACAAAAAUUGGCUCAUGUAUUCAUUCUUUUCCCACUAAAACCACUAGAGGGCGCUGUAGGCGUGUAUGUCAGCAUUUGCAAUUGACGGCAACGGAGAAGAAGAAGAAAAACAAACGUGGAGGAGUAUCUGAUUCUCUUCUUGGACUGGAAAUAUUUCAGAUUUUCAUCUAGACUAUUUUUGUUUUUCCUCCUUGGACUAAUGCGACACAGCAAGUAAUCAAACUGGGUCACAGAGACACAGAAGUACCGCUGAAGGAGAAGUCAUUCCGAUGCAGCUCUUGCAGUAGAAGACUCCUCCCACCUGGUUCCUGCACGACGAUCUUCAUCUCAGCUUCAAAUAAAUCUUUUUUUUUUUUAACCUGUCCUCCCGCUCUGCCCCGGUGGGUGCAGCAUGAGCCCCGACACGCCCGCCUUCCCAUACAUCACCGCCUGGCACAAAUGCCGUUGCCACGGGCAACGAGAAAUUAGAGAAGAGAGCGGCAACCUGCCAGCUGAAUACCUGAAAGUGUGCAGCCUGAGGAGAGACGAAGGAGGCGGCGGGGGGGGAUAAAUGACACAGGAGAGGAGUUUACUGAAAGGAGUAAAGGAAGCAAAAGCUGGGCACAUUGUCCGCUGCUCAGCUGGAUUCUUUCAUCAAAUCGGGUUGGGAGGAACCACACUAGCUCAGCCUGAGGAAAGGCCUGCAGCCCUACGAGUAAACAAAACAUCCACACACUGUCUGUGAAACUUUAGUGAGCAAGCCCCGCCCACAUUACCUGCCAUUUCUUCCCUUCAGAGAUUUUGCUUCUUACCACACAUUUUUUCUAAUCAUGGAGAACAGAACAAGAAUGAUCUGCAGCUGAUGAGAUCUUCAUACAUAAUUAAGCAGCAGAAGUAUUACAGGAGCAUUCUGGGACAUCCAGAUCUGCUGUUUCCUUUCAGAUUUUUAAUCAAUUUUAUCUACAAAUUGAUUAAUUGAACAUUUUUCUUUCAAUAUCCUCAUAUUUUUAACAUUUUUCUAAUUCAAGUUACUUUCUUAUGCUGAAUAUGUUAAAUUAUGUUAUGUCAAAGUUUCUUGGCUAUUUGAUUGUUUUACUGCGUUUUUUGACGAUAAAUAUGAAAUAAA